UACAGGGGGUGCAAACGUUGCUCGGAAUUAUUGGGCGUAAAGCGCGCGUAGGCGGCUACUUAAGUCGGAUGUGAAAGCCCCUGGCUCAACUGGGGAAGUGCACCCGAAACUGAGUGGCUUGAGUAUGGAAGAGGGUCGCGGAAUUCCCGGUGUAGAGGUGAAAUUCGUAGAUAUCGGGAGGAACACCAGUGGCGAAGGCGACUACCUGGCCUGUUUCUUGACGCUGAGGCGCGAAAGCUAGGGGAGCAAACGGG
RNAcentral lists this ribosomal RNA (254 nucleotides) under uncultured bacterium. Its description in RNAcentral is "partial 16S ribosomal RNA". It matches the Rfam family "Bacterial small subunit ribosomal RNA", at positions 524 to 776 of the family's 1533-position model. The record is from RNAcentral.